This 249-nucleotide ribosomal RNA is filed under the name uncultured bacterium. RNAcentral describes it as "partial 16S ribosomal RNA". It matches the Rfam family "Bacterial small subunit ribosomal RNA", at positions 57 to 305 of the family's 1533-position model. The record is from RNAcentral.
GCAAGUCGAGGGGUAACAUAGUAGCUUGCUACUGAUGACGACCGGCGCACGGGUGCGUAACGCGUAUACAAUCUACCUUUUGCUGCGGGAUAGCCUUUGGAAACGAAGAUUAAUACCGCAUAGUAUACAGAGUUCACAUGAGCCUUGUAUUAAAGGUUACGGCAGAAGAUGAGUAUGCGUCCUAUUAGCUAGAUGGUGUGGUAACGGCACACCAUGGCAACGAUAGGUAGGGGUCCUGAGAGGGAGAUC